Molecule: transfer RNA, 80 nt
Filed under: Nocardia otitidiscaviarum
Lineage: Bacteria; Bacillati; Actinomycetota; Actinomycetes; Mycobacteriales; Nocardiaceae
Description: tRNA-Tyr(gta)
Source: RNAcentral
CCGGUUGAGCACAUGGCGUGCACGGAGGCUGUAACCCUCCCGCCCUCGGGCGCAGGUGGUUCGAUUCCAUCCAACCGGAC